CCCUGACAGGAGGAGUUGUCAUUAGCUGUGAGAUGGUCCCUGGCAGAUCCUGACAUGUGGCCUCCCAGCUCGGCCCUGACCUCCUCAGCACCCACUCAGCAGCCUCCAGACUGCACCGCAGUAAGGCGGUCACCUCUGGAUCUCACCACACUAAGGAGGAGGGUGUCGCCUCUGAACAUUUGGGUGAUCAAAGGAGUUUUCAGAGACAGCACAUUCUAACCUGGCUGAGAGUUGUAUGCCCCGGGACAUGGGAGCUAACAUUGGAAUGCAGUCCAUCCUCCUUUCCCCGAGAACUGCCUACCCUCAUGGAAAGAAAAACAAUCUAGUCAUGGAGGUGUCCGCCCUUUGCAACCCCCAGCCCACAUUGCCUGUAACCUGUAACCAUUAUACCUUGCCUACUUUCCUAUGCCUGGAAUUCUUAAUUUCCCACAUAUCCUUUGUCCUUCUACACAAUAUGAGACGCUGGCUUAUGGGGAGGGGCAGAGCAGAUUUUUGUGGAUGACCUGCUGCUCUCUCAUACUGCCGGCAUUAUUGGAAUAAAGGCUCAUAUAUG
Eptesicus fuscus (big brown bat) is the source of this 553-nucleotide long non-coding RNA. RefSeq lists it as uncharacterized. The record is from RefSeq and is a predicted model, not a curated record. Lineage: Eukaryota; Metazoa; Chordata; Mammalia; Chiroptera; Vespertilionidae. The transcript is spliced from 3 exons.